RNAcentral lists this ribosomal RNA (429 nucleotides) under bacterium. RNAcentral describes it as "partial 16S ribosomal RNA". It matches the Rfam family "Bacterial small subunit ribosomal RNA", at positions 355 to 776 of the family's 1533-position model. The record is from RNAcentral.
UAGGGAAUCUUCGGCAAUGGGGGCAACCCUGACCGAGCAACGCCGCGUGAGUGAAGAAGGUUUUCGGAUCGUAAAGCUCUGUUGUAAGAGAAGAACGUGUGUGAGAGUGGAAAGUUCACACAGUGACGGUAACUUACCAGAAAGGGACGGCUAACUACGUGCCAGCAGCCGAGGUAAUACGUAGGUCCCGAGCGUUGUCCGGAUUUAUUGGGCGUAAAGCGAGCGCAGGCGGUUUAAUAAGUCUGAAGUUAAAGGCAGUGGCUUAACCAUUGUUCGCUUUGGAAACUGUUAAACUUGAGUGCAGAAGGGGAGGGUGGAAUUCCAUGUGUAGCGGUGAAAUGCGUAGAUAUAUGGAGGAACACCGGUGGCGAAAGCGGCUCUCUGGUCUGUAACUGACGCUGAGGCUCGAAAGCGUGGGGAGCAAACAGG